Molecule: ribosomal RNA, 468 nt
Filed under: uncultured bacterium
Lineage: Bacteria
Description: partial 16S ribosomal RNA
Rfam family: Bacterial small subunit ribosomal RNA
Source: RNAcentral
GACGAACGCUGGCGGCGUGCUUAACACAUGCAAGUCGAACGGAAAGGCCCUGCUUUUGUGGGGUGCUCGAGUGGCGAACGGGUGAGUAACACGUGAGUAACCUGCCCUUGACUUUGGGAUAACUUCAGGAAACUGGGGCUAAUACCGGAUAGGAGCUCCUGCUGCAUGGUGGGGGUUGGAACGUUUCGUCGGUUGGGGAUGGACUCGCGGCUUAUCAGCUUGUUGGUGGGGUAGUGGCUUACCAAGGCUUUGACGGGUAGCCGGCCUGAGAGGGUGACCGGCGACAAUAGGACUGAGAGACGGACCAGACUCCAACGGGAGGCAGCAGGGGGAAAUAUGGCACAAUGGGCGGAAGCCUGAUGCAGAAACGCCGCGUGCGGGAUGACGGCCUUCGGGGUGUAAACCGCUUUCGCCUGUGACGAAGCGUGAGUGACGGUAAUGGGUAAAGAAGCACCGGCUAACUACGUG